UGGCGGUCCUUCUGAUUUCCAACCUCAUGC
RNAcentral lists this non-coding RNA (30 nucleotides) under Rattus norvegicus (Norway rat). The record is from RNAcentral. Lineage: Eukaryota; Metazoa; Chordata; Mammalia; Rodentia; Muridae.